RNAcentral lists this non-coding RNA (23 nucleotides) under Arabidopsis thaliana (thale cress). The record is from RNAcentral. Lineage: Eukaryota; Viridiplantae; Streptophyta; Magnoliopsida; Brassicales; Brassicaceae.
GUUUGGUGUAGCUCUGAGUUACA